RNAcentral lists this long non-coding RNA (685 nucleotides) under Cricetulus griseus (Chinese hamster). RNAcentral's name for it is "lncRNA (ENSCGRG00015020473.2)". Lineage: Eukaryota; Metazoa; Chordata; Mammalia; Rodentia; Cricetidae. The record is from RNAcentral.
CCCCGCCCCAUCCUCCUCCCCCCCCCCCCCCCCGGGCGGGUUCGGCGCGCAUGCGCGGCCCUCGGCUCGGCCUGGGCGCACCUUUUCUCCCUCCUGCCACAAUGUGAGCGCUCAGCCGAGCAGAUAACCGCCGGCUGCCUGCUCCACCCCCGGCCCUCGCCCACUCCGCCACUCCCGAGCGCCCAGAAGGAAGGGAAGGACCAAGGCGAUGAAGGACAAGUGAGCCAUUGCAGCCACACUCCCAGAUACAAGCACCCUUUGUUCUGCAGGAUAAAUACAGCCCGUGCUAUUUCAGAUGAUGAAGAUUUAUAAAAUUGACCAGAGAUCUCCCAAUACCCAGAAUUCAACCCCAAAUCUCUCCAGUUCUACAACUUUCCCUCUAGUUGGCGUUGCCUUCUAGAGUGAGAAUAUGGGAAGUCCCACCCAAUGGACAUCUUCAUUCUGGCAGCAAGCACCACUGCAGGUCACUGGCCUGAAGAGGCUUCAAAUGAGAAGGGUCCACUGUCUUAGCAUGCAAGCCUUCAAGCCUGAACAAGGAAACUAUUCAUCCAUGGAGCCAACCAGGAGGAAGCCACUUCCUGUUCUCUCCCUGUCCUGGCCUGGCCAGGCCAGGACAUGGCUUUCCAUCCCAGGCUGGGAGGAUGGAAUUGAUAAAGGCCCAUUGUGACAGUCUCACAAACCCAGA